This 253-nucleotide ribosomal RNA is filed under the name uncultured bacterium. Its description in RNAcentral is "partial 16S ribosomal RNA". It matches the Rfam family "Bacterial small subunit ribosomal RNA", at positions 524 to 776 of the family's 1533-position model. The record is from RNAcentral.
UACGGAGGGAGCUAGCGUUGUUCGGAAUUACUGGGCGUAAAGAGUGUGUAGGCGGUGUUCUAAGUUUGGUGUGAAAUCUCCCGGCUCAACUGGGAGGGUGCGCCGAAAACUGGAAUGCUAGAGUAUGGGAGAGGUAAGCGGAAUUCCUGGUGUAGCGGUGAAAUGCGUAGAUAUCAGGAGGAACACCUGUGGUGUAGACAGCUUACUGGACCAUCACUGACGCUGAGACACGAAAGCGUGGGUAGCAAACAGG